AUUUUUUAGCAGCAGUUGAGUGCGAAGGAGUUAAGAUCCUUACACGUUAGGAACUCCUAAAGAAUUCCC
This 69-nucleotide transfer RNA is filed under the name Cylisticus convexus. RNAcentral describes it as "tRNA-Leu". Lineage: Eukaryota; Metazoa; Arthropoda; Malacostraca; Isopoda; Cylisticidae. The record is from RNAcentral.